CCUACGGGUGGCAGCAGUGGGGAAUAUUGCACAAUGGGGGAAACCCUGAUGCAGCGACGCCGCGUGAGUGAAGAAGCGUUUCGGCGCGUAAAGCUCUGUCAGCGGGGAAGAAACACGGUUCGCGAGUGCCGCGGACGGUACCCGACCAAGAAGCCCCGGCUAACUACGUGCCAGAAGCCGCGGUAAUACGUAGGGGGCAAGAGUGAUCCGGAUGCACGGGGUGUAAAGGGAACGUAGACGGCAGGUCAAGUCUGGAGUGAAAGGCCGGGGCCCAACCCCGGAACUGCUCUGGAAACUGGCUGGCUGGAGUACAGGAGAGGUAAGUAGAAUUCCUAGUGUAGCGGUGAAAUGCGUAGAUAUUAGGAGGAACACCAGUGGCGAAGGCGGCUUACUGGACUGUAACUGACGUUGAGGCUCGAAAGCGUGGGGAGCAAACAGGAUUAGAUACCCUGGUAGUC
Molecule: ribosomal RNA, 458 nt
Filed under: uncultured bacterium
Lineage: Bacteria
Description: partial 16S ribosomal RNA
Rfam family: Bacterial small subunit ribosomal RNA
Source: RNAcentral